This 1202-nucleotide ribosomal RNA is filed under the name Dermacoccus nishinomiyaensis. RNAcentral's name for it is "bacterial SSU rRNA". It matches the Rfam family "Bacterial small subunit ribosomal RNA", at positions 173 to 1386 of the family's 1533-position model. The record is from RNAcentral. Lineage: Bacteria; Bacillati; Actinomycetota; Actinomycetes; Micrococcales; Dermacoccaceae.
UACGACCGAUCUCCGCAUGGAGUGUUGGUGGAAAAGUUUUUGUGGUGGGGGGAUGGACUCGCGGCCUAUCAGCUUGUUGGUGGGGUAAUGGCCUACCAAGGCGACGACGGGUAGCCGGCCUGAGAGGGCGACCGGCCACACUGGGACUGAGACACGGCCCAGACUCCUACGGGAGGCAGCAGUGGGGAAUAUUGCACAAUGGGCGAAAGCCUGAUGCAGCGACGCCGCGUGAGGGAUGACGGCCUUCGGGUUGUAAACCUCUUUCACCAGGGACGAAGCUAACGUGACGGUACCUGGAGAAGAAGCACCGGCUAACUACGUGCCAGCAGCCGCGGUAAUACGUAGGGUGCGAGCGUUGUCCGGAAUUAUUGGGCGUAAAGAGCUUGUAGGCGGUCUGUCGCGUCUGCUGUGAAAGACCGGGGCUUAACUCCGGUUCUGCAGUGGGUACGGGCAGACUAGAGUGUGGUAGGGGAGACUGGAAUUCCUGGUGUAGCGGUGAAAUGCGCAGAUAUCAGGAGGAACACCGAUGGCGAAGGCAGGUCUCUGGGCCAUUACUGACGCUGAGAAGCGAAAGCAUGGGGAGCGAACAGGAUUAGAUACCCUGGUAGUCCAUGCCGUAAACGUUGGGCGCUAGGUGUGGGACUCAUUCCACGAGUUCCGUGCCGCAGCUAACGCAUUAAGCGCCCCGCCUGGGGAGUACGGCCGCAAGGCUAAAACUCAAAGGAAUUGACGGGGGCCCGCACAAGCGGCGGAGCAUGCGGAUUAAUUCGAUGCAACGCGAAGAACCUUACCAAGGCUUGACAUACACCGGAAUCAUGCAGAGAUGUGUGCGUCUUCGGACUGGUGUACAGGUGGUGCAUGGUUGUCGUCAGCUCGUGUCGUGAGAUGUUGGGUUAAGUCCCGCAACGAGCGCAACCCUCGUUCCAUGUUGCCAGCACUUCGGGUGGGGACUCAUGGGAGACUGCCGGGGUCAACUCGGAGGAAGGUGGGGAUGACGUCAAAUCAUCAUGCCCCUUAUGUCUUGGGCUUCACGCAUGCUACAAUGGCCGGUACAGAGGGUCGCGAAAACCGUGAGGUGGAGCUAAUCCCAAAAAACCGGUCUCAGUUCGGAUUGGGGUCUGCAACUCGACCCCAUGAAGUCGGAGUCGCUAGUAAUCGCAGAUCAGCAACGCUGCGGUGAAUACGUUUCCCGGGCCUUGUAC